UUUGUUGAAUGAUUGGAGUGGGAUGGAUAUGGAGGAAACCAAGGAAUAUAUAGUGAACUGUCAGUCAUAUGAUGGGGGAUUUUGGUUGGUUCCUGGAUUAGAAUCUCAUGUGAUGAAGGUGGUGCAACAUAUUCUGCAGUCGUAGCUCUCCGUUUGAUGGGAUUUAUUGAAGAUGCCAUUUUGUCAAUAUCUUCUGUUAUUGAUGUGGAAUCGCUGUUAGAAUGGUGCUUGCAGAGGCAAGCAAUUGAUGGUGGAUUCCAAGGCCGUGUAAACAAGGCGACUUGACAAGUGCCAUUUGUGUUUGCACAGGAUUGGCGGCAUACUGAGAGUGUUGGGGGCUCAGAAUUUCUAUGACAACGCAGUGCUAAGAGAAAGUUCUGCUUACCUGUCAAUCUAAGGUGCUGUUGCAUCUCCUUGCUUACUUGUUCUGCUAGAUGUCAACAGGGCCUAGCUUUCACCCUUUAAGUUACUGGAAAGUGU
Molecule: RNA transcript, 480 nt
Organism: Papaver somniferum (opium poppy)
Lineage: Eukaryota; Viridiplantae; Streptophyta; Magnoliopsida; Ranunculales; Papaveraceae
Gene name: geranylgeranyl transferase type-1 subunit beta-like
Exons: 4
Source: RefSeq, a predicted model, not a curated record